CCUCGUGCUGUUCGCGCCGUUCGCUGAAACACGACACCGAGGGAGAUUAACCCUGAAAUGAACCAAUAGCUGGCCCUGCAGCCUAAGGAGAAUAGAUCUUCUCUCCUCGCUGCAUCUUGCUUUGUAAAUGAGGGAGGAGCGUUUAGACGUGAGCUGAGUAGAAGCUAGAUGAAGUACUUCGUGGGCCAAUAGCAAGCUAAGAACCUUAGCUCCUUUCCUCACGCACGCUGCUGGGGUGCAUCAAGUAGUGCAUCGUGCACGUGCAUUUGCAUCAGCGUCACAGCGUCAUUCCAAGCAGUUAAGCCCGCGCGGAUUGUGACGUUUUUGAGGUUUGACUGAGUGAUAUCAAGUGAUAUCUCUCAACAAAACUAUCCACAAUCAACGAUUACAUUCAUACUGUAUAGAACUACUUCCAAAAUGGUCAGCUCGCAGAGGAAAACCAAAGUAGACGCCGCCAGCACCAGUGGCUUAAGGACAAUAAGCAGAAAAACAAAUAAUACAAAGACACAAAAAAUAGUCACUACUGUCAUCACUAGCCAACCGCGUUUUACGGCAUUUCCACCCAGAAGACCAACAACUAGAAGUGUUGCCCGCCAGGAAGAAAUUGCGGCCCCGGAAGUAAUUGCUACCCCGGAAAUAAUUGCAACCCCGGAAGAAAUUUCAACCAUGGAAAAAAUUGCGGCCCCGGAAGAAAAAAUUGCGUGUGCUUACAAGCCGCGAAUCAAGCGCAUAGCCUUCGUACGCUUGACCAGUGAGGAACACGCCCUGGUCGUUAAUGCAGUGGCCACGCUGAAGGCCUGCAGCCUUUCUACUGGCCCUGACAGGGCCAAAGCUACCCAUUGCGUACUGGGCACUGCCGCGGGCAGCUAUGCUUUAAAUAUACUCCCUAACUACUGCAAGAUGGUCUCCGUAAAUUGGAUAGAAGAAUCCAUAAAAAACGGUGCGUGGCUGCCUGUCACUCCGCAGUUUGCUCCCGAAGACUUUGAUAUUAUAAAUAGGUUAAGUGAUGUGUGGCAGCGCUGCGCAAUAGCAUCCCGGUGCAAGAACAUGAAAAUGGCUUCCUUGAAAGACAUGACACACACGACCUUCAGGAAAUGUUUCAAAGAACGCUGCCAGCCUUUGUCUUGCUUUAACAACCCCAGUAAAUGUGUCAAACUCCCUCAGAAGAAAUAGUUGGCUCCUCCACUUGUUCAGUUUACCGAUACCUGUUUUCAAAAAGAACUACUUAAAAAUUAAAAAAAAAAAAUAA
Cloeon dipterum is the source of this 1249-nucleotide long non-coding RNA. RefSeq lists it as uncharacterized. The transcript has 4 exons. NCBI's taxonomy places the organism in Eukaryota, Metazoa, Arthropoda, Insecta, Ephemeroptera, Baetidae. The record is from RefSeq and is a predicted model, not a curated record.